GUGGGGAAUCUUGCGCAAUGGGCGAAAGCCUGACGCAGCCAUGCCGCGUGAAUGAUGAAGGUCUUAGGAUUGUAAAAUUCUUUCACCGGGGACGAUAAUGACGGUACCCGGAGAAGAAGCCCCGGCUAACUUCGUGCCAGCAGCCGCGGUAAUACGAAGGGGGCUAGCGUUGCUCGGAAUUACUGGGCGUAAAGGGCGCGUAGGCGGACCGUUUAGUCAGAGGUGAAAGCCCAGGGCUCAACCUUGGAAUUGCCUUUGAUACUGGCUGUCUUGAGUACGGGAGAGGUGAGUGGAACUCCGAGUGUAGAGGUGAAAUUCGUAGAUAUUCGGAAGAACACCAGUGGCGAAGGCGACUCACUGGCCCGUUACUGACGCUGAGGCGCGAAAGCGUGGGGAGCAAACAGGAUUAGAAACCCCGGUAGUCC
Molecule: ribosomal RNA, 425 nt
Filed under: uncultured bacterium
Lineage: Bacteria
Description: partial 16S ribosomal RNA
Rfam family: Bacterial small subunit ribosomal RNA
Source: RNAcentral